RNAcentral lists this ribosomal RNA (866 nucleotides) under uncultured marine archaeon AEGEAN_74. RNAcentral's name for it is "bacterial SSU rRNA". It matches the Rfam family "Archaeal small subunit ribosomal RNA", at positions 31 to 903 of the family's 1478-position model. Lineage: Archaea; Methanobacteriati; Methanobacteriota. The record is from RNAcentral.
UAUUGGAGUUCGAUUAAGCCAUGCGAGUCUAGAGGCCUAGCCUCGGCGUACCGCUCAGUAACACGUGGGUAACCUACCCUAUGCUGGGGAAUAAGCUCGGGAAACUGAGAAUAAUACCCCAUAGUCCACUACGCCUGGAACGGUGAGUGGAUCAAAGCUCCGGCGGCAUAGGAUGGGCCUGCGGCGUAUCAGGUUGUAGGGGGUGUAAUGUACCCUCUAGCCAUCCACGCGUACGGGUGUUGGGAGACAUUGCCCGGAGAUGGAUUCUGAGACACGAAUCCAGACCCUACGGGGUGCAGCAGGCGCGAAAACUUGGCAAUGCGAGAAAUCGUGACCAGGGAACUCCAAGUGGCAGGGGUAAGACCCUGUCUUUUUCCGACUCUAAAUAGGUCGGCGCAAUAAGGGGUGGGUAAGGACGGUGCCAGCCGCCGCGGUAAUACCGGCGCCUCAAGUGGUAGUCGCUUUUAUUGGGCCUAAAACGUCCGUAGCCGGUCUGGUACAUUCGUGGGUAAAUCAACUCGCUCAACGAGUUGAAUUCUGCGAGGACGGCCAGACUUGGGACCGGGAGAGGUGCGGGGUACUCUCAGGGUAGGGGUAAAAUCCCGUCAUCCUGAGAGGACCACCUGUUGCGAAGGCUCCACACUAGAACGGAUCCGACGGUCAGGGACGAAGCCUAGGGGCACGAACCGGAUUAGAUACCCGGGUAGUCCUAGGUGUAAACGCUGUGGACUUGAUGUUGGGGACGCUCCGAGCGUUCUCAGUGUCGAAGCGAAGGUGAUAAGUCCACUGCCUGGGGAGUACGGUCGCAAGGCUGAAACUUAAAGGAAUUGGCGGGGGAGCACCGCAACUUGAGGGUUGUGCGGUAA